AACGAACGCUGGCGGCAUGCCUAACACAUGCAAGUCGAACGAGACCUUCGGGUCUAGUGGCGCACGGGUGCGUAACGCGUGGGAACCUGCCCUUAGGUUCGGAAUAACUCCCCGAAAGGGGUGCUAAUACCGGAUAAUGUCUUCGGACCAAAGAUUGAUCGCCUUUGGAUGGGCCCGCGUUGGAUUAGCUAGUUGGUAGGGUAAAAGCCUACCAAGGCGACGAUCCAUAGCUGGUCUGAGAGGAUGAUCAGCCACACUGGGACUGAGACACGGCCCAGACUCCUACGGGAGGCAGCAGUGGGGAAUAUUGGACAGUGGGCGAAAGCCUGAUCCAGCAAUGCCGCGUGAGUGAUGAAGGCCUUAGGGUUGUAAAGCUCGUUUACCCGGGAUGAUAAUGACAGUACCGGGAGAAUAAGCUCCGGCUAACUCCGUG
This 433-nucleotide ribosomal RNA is filed under the name uncultured bacterium. Its description in RNAcentral is "partial 16S ribosomal RNA". It matches the Rfam family "Bacterial small subunit ribosomal RNA", at positions 29 to 507 of the family's 1533-position model. The record is from RNAcentral.